Molecule: ribosomal RNA, 484 nt
Filed under: uncultured bacterium
Lineage: Bacteria
Description: partial 16S ribosomal RNA
Rfam family: Bacterial small subunit ribosomal RNA
Source: RNAcentral
AUUGAACGCUGGCGGCAUGCUUUACACAUGCAAGUCGAACGGCAGCGCGGGCUUCGGCCUGGCGGCGAGUGGCGAACGGGUGAGUAAUAAAUCGGAACGUGCCCAGUAGUGGGGGAUAGCUCGGCGAAAGCCGGAUUAAUACCGCAUACGACCUGAGGGUGAAAGCGGGGGAUCUUCGGACCUCGCGCUAUUGGAGGGGCCGAUGGCAGAUUAGCUAGUUGGUGGGGUAAAGGCCUACCAAGGCGACGAUCUGUAGCUGGUCUGAGAGGACGACCAGCCACACUGGGACUGAGACACGGCCCAGACUCCUACGGGAGGCAGCAGUGGGGAAUUUUGGACAAUGGGCGAAAGCCUGAUCCAGCAAUGCCGCGUGUGUGAUGAAGGCCUUCGGGUUGUAAAGCACUUUUGGCGGGAACGAAAAGGACUGUGCCAAUACCACGGUUCGAUGACGGUACCCGCAGAAUAAGCACCGGCUAACUACGUG